AUUGAACGCUGGCGGCAUGCCUUACACAUGCAAGUCGAACGGCAGCACGGGAGCUUGCUCCUGGUGGCGAGUGGCGAACGGGUGAGUAAUACAUCGGAACGUACCCAGUAGUGGGGGAUAACGCACCGAAAGGUGCGCUAAUACCGCAUACGACCUACGGGUGAAAGCGGGGGACCGUAAGGCCUCGCGCUAUUGGAGCGGCCGAUGUCUGAUUAGCUAGUUGGCGGGGUAAAAGCCCACCAAGGCGACGAUCAGUAGCUGGUCUGAGAGGACGAUCAGCCACAUGGGGACUGGGGCACGGGCCAGACUCCUACGGGGGGCAGCAGUGGGGAAUUUUGGACAAUGGGGGCAACCCUGAUCCAGCAAUGCCGCGUGUGCGAAGAAGGCCUUCGGGUUGUAAAGCACUUUUGUCAGGGAAGAAAUCUUUCAGGCUAAUACCCUUGGAAGGAUGACGGUACCUGAAGAAUAAGCACCGGCUAACUACGUGCCAGCAGCCGCCGUAA
Molecule: ribosomal RNA, 503 nt
Filed under: uncultured bacterium
Lineage: Bacteria
Description: partial 16S ribosomal RNA
Rfam family: Bacterial small subunit ribosomal RNA
Source: RNAcentral